AUUGAACGCUGGCGGCAGGCCUAACACAUGCAAGUCGAACGGAUGAAGCGAGUUUGCUCCUGGAUUCAGCGGCGGACGGUUGAGUAAUGCCUAGGAAUCUGUCUUAUCGUGGGGGAUAACGUCCGGAAACGGGCGCUAAUACCGCAUCCGCCCAUUGGGAGCAAGUGGGGGAUCUUCAGACCUCCCGCCUUCUGAUUAGCCUAGGUCGGUUUAGCUAGGUGGUGGGGUAAAGGCUCACCAAGGCGGCGAUCCGUAACUGGUCUGAGAGGAUGACCAGUCACAUUGGAACUGAGACACGGUCCAGACUCCUGCGGGGGGCAGCAGUGGUGAAUAUUGGACAAUGGGCGAAAGCCUGAUCCAGCCAUGCCGCGUGUGUGAAGAAGGUCUUCGGAUUGUAAAGCACUGUAGGUGGGGAGGAAGGGCAGUAAGUUAAUACGUUGCUGUUAUGACGGUACCAAGAGAAUAAGCACCGGCUAACUUCGUG
RNAcentral lists this ribosomal RNA (484 nucleotides) under uncultured bacterium. RNAcentral's name for it is "partial 16S ribosomal RNA". It matches the Rfam family "Bacterial small subunit ribosomal RNA", at positions 30 to 507 of the family's 1533-position model. The record is from RNAcentral.